GGGGCCGUAGCACAGCGGCAGAUGCGCCGCACUGCACAUGCGGAGGACGUCGGUUCGAAUCCGACCGGCCCCG
RNAcentral lists this transfer RNA (73 nucleotides) under Kitasatospora setae KM-6054. RNAcentral's name for it is "tRNA-Cys (GCA) (tRNA-Cys-GCA-3-1)". It matches the Rfam family "tRNA". Rfam says of the family: Transfer RNA (tRNA) molecules are approximately 80 nucleotides in length. Their secondary structure includes four short double-helical elements and three loops (D, anti-codon, and T loops). Lineage: Bacteria; Bacillati; Actinomycetota; Actinomycetes; Kitasatosporales; Streptomycetaceae. The record is from Rfam by way of RNAcentral.